This 253-nucleotide ribosomal RNA is filed under the name uncultured bacterium. Its description in RNAcentral is "partial 16S ribosomal RNA". It matches the Rfam family "Bacterial small subunit ribosomal RNA", at positions 524 to 776 of the family's 1533-position model. The record is from RNAcentral.
UACGUAGGUGGCAAGCGUUGUCCGGAAUUACUGGGCGUAAAGCGUGCGCAGGCGGUUUUGUAAGUUUGUCGUGAAAGCCCCGGGCUCAACCUGGGAAUGGCGAUGAAGACUGCAAGGCUUGAAUCUGGCAGAGGGGGGUAGAAUUCCACGUGUAGCAGUGAAAUGCGUAGAGAUGUGGAGGAACACCGAUGGCGAAGGCAGCCCCCUGGGUCAAGAUUGACGCUCAUGCACGAAAGCGUGGGGAGCAAACAGG